AAAUUAAAAAAAAAAAAAAAAAGAGCUUCUCUCCUGGUAACAUGAUCUCUUUUCCCAGAUUUGGAAGACAGAAGCAAAGGAGAGUCACAAAAGCCAGUUUUGUCACCCUGAGUCCUGCUAACUAGCUGAUAGCCUCUGGCACACGCUGAUCUGGGGAUGCAGAGGAGGCCACAGGAGUGCCCAGGAGCCUGAAGAUGGAACAGAGAAAAUGGAGAAACCAGAGUAUGCGGGGUAGAGCUUGAUAGUUAAGAUCCUGUUUUCUCAACUAUCAAUCUACCCCUCAUAAAAUCGGCGUCAUCAGUUAACACAAAACCCAGGGUGUGGCUUUCAGACCCAAAGUCCCUACUCUGAUCUGUGAGUAUCCACAUGAUUCGGCCCCUGCCUACUUCUAAUGACUUCAUCCCUUACCACAUCCCUGUGACUUGCUACACUUGACCCAUACGAACAGGUGCACUUCAAUCUUAGGAAGCUCACACCAGCAGUCCCUUGGUUUGGAACAUUCCUGCCCUACUCCUUCCUGCCCCUGCUAUUUUCUCAUAGCUGCUUCUUCCCUACCAUUGAGAUUUCAACUUAAAUGUCGUCUUGCAUUGAGGACUCUGAGCAGAAAGUAAAGUAGGCUCUCAGUCACUUUA
Long non-coding RNA from Leopardus geoffroyi (Geoffroy's cat), 632 nucleotides. RefSeq lists it as uncharacterized. Lineage: Eukaryota; Metazoa; Chordata; Mammalia; Carnivora; Felidae. The transcript has 3 exons. The record is from RefSeq and is a predicted model, not a curated record.